AGAUUGAACGCUAGCGGGAUGCUUUACACAUGCAAGUCGAACGGCAGCGCGGACUUCGGUCUGGCGGCGAGUGGCGAACGGGUGAGUAAUAUAUCGGAACGUGCCCAGUAGCGGGGGAUAACUGCGCGAAAGCGUGGCUAAUACCGCAUACGCCCUACGGGGGAAAGGGGGGGAUCGCAAGACCUCUCACUAUUGGAGCGGCCGAUAUCAGAUUAGCUAGUUGGUGAGGUAAAGGCUCACCAAGGCGACGAUCUGUAGCUGGUUUGAGAGGACGACCAGCCACACUGGGACUGAGACACGGCCCAGACUCCUACGGGAGCAGCAGUGGGAAUAUGGACAAUGGGCGCAAGCCUGAUCCAGCAAUGCCGCGUGUGUGAAGGAAGUCCGUUGGUUAGUAAGCUACUUUAAGUUAGGAAAGAAAAACUCGACUACUAACACAGUGAGUCUUAGACGGUACGACAAG
Molecule: ribosomal RNA, 463 nt
Filed under: uncultured soil bacterium
Lineage: Bacteria
Description: bacterial SSU rRNA
Rfam family: Bacterial small subunit ribosomal RNA
Source: RNAcentral